This 1490-nucleotide ribosomal RNA is filed under the name Lactiplantibacillus plantarum. RNAcentral's name for it is "bacterial SSU rRNA". It matches the Rfam family "Bacterial small subunit ribosomal RNA". The record is from RNAcentral. Lineage: Bacteria; Bacillati; Bacillota; Bacilli; Lactobacillales; Lactobacillaceae.
GACGAACGCUGGCAGCGUGCCUAAUACAUGCAAGUCGAACGAACUCUGGUAUUGAUUGGUGCUUGCAUCAUGAUUUACAUUUGAGUGAGUGGCGAACUGGUGAGUAACACGUGGGAAACCUGCCCAGAAGCGGGGGAUAACACCUGGAAACAGAUGCUAAUACCGCAUAACAACUUGGACCGCAUGGUCCGAGCUUGAAAGAUGGCUUCGGCUAUCACUUUUGGAUGGUCCCGCGGCGUAUUAGCUAGAUGGUGGGGUAACGGCUCACCAUGGCAAUGAUACGUAGCCGACCUGAGAGGGUAAUCGGCCACAUUGGGACUGAGACACGGCCCAAACUCCUACGGGAGGCAGCAGUAGGGAAUCUUCCACAAUGGACGAAAGUCUGAUGGAGCAACGCCGCGUGAGUGAAGAAGGGUUUCGGCUCGUAAAACUCUGUUGUUAAAGAAGAACAUAUCUGAGAGUAACUGUUCAGGUAUUGACGGUAUUUAACCAGAAAGCCACGGCUAACUACGUGCCAGCAGCCGCGGUAAUACGUAGGUGGCAAGCGUUGUCCGGAUUUAUUGGGCGUAAAGCGAGCGCAGGCGGUUUUUUAAGUCUGAUGUGAAAGCCUUCGGCUCAACCGAAGAAGUGCAUCGGAAACUGGGAAACUUGAGUGCAGAAGAGGACAGUGGAACUCCAUGUGUAGCGGUGAAAUGCGUAGAUAUAUGGAAGAACACCAGUGGCGAAGGCGGCUGUCUGGUCUGUAACUGACGCUGAGGCUCGAAAAGUAUGGGUAGCAAACAGGAUUAGAUACCCUGGUAGUCCAUACCGUAAACGAUGAAUGCUAAGUGUUGGAGGGUUUCCGCCCUUCAGUGCUGCAGCUAACGCAUUAAGCAUUCCGCCUGGGGAGUACGGCCGCAAGGCUGAAACUCAAAGGAAUUGACGGGGGCCCGCACAAGCGGUGGAGCAUGUGGUUUAAUUCGAAGCUACGCGAAGAACCUUACCAGGUCUUGACAUACUAUGCAAAUCUAAGAGAUUAGACGUUCCCUUCGGGGACAUGGAUACAGGUGGUGCAUGGUUGUCGUCAGCUCGUGUCGUGAGAUGUUGGGUUAAGUCCCGCAACGAGCGCAACCCUUAUUAUCAGUUGCCAGCAUUAAGUUGGGCACUCUGGUGAGACUGCCGGUGACAAACCGGAGGAAGGUGGGGAUGACGUCAAAUCAUCAUGCCCCUUAUGACCUGGGCUACACACGUGCUACAAUGGAUGGUACAACGAGUUGCGAACUCGCGAGAGUGAGCUAAUCUCUUAAAGCCAUUCUCAGUUCGGAUUGUAGGCUGCAACUCGCCUACAUGAAGUCGGAAUCGCUAGUAAUCGCGGAUCAGCAUGCCGCGGUGAAUACGUUCCCGGGCCUUGUACACACCGCCCGUCACACCAUGAGAGUUUGUAACACCCAAAGUCGGUGGGGUAACCUUUUAGGAACCAGCCGCCUAAGGUGGGACAGAUGAUUAGGGUG